GACGAACGCUGGCGGCGUGCUUAACACAUGCCAGUCGAACGGAAAGGCCCUGCUUUUGUGGGGUGCUCGAGUGGCGAACGGGUGAGUAACACGUGAGUAACCUGCCCUUGACUUUGGGAUAACUUCAGGAAACUGGGGCUAAUACCGGAUAGGAGCUCCUGCUGCAUGGUGGGGGUUGGAAAGUUUCGGCGGUUGGGGAUGGACUCGCGGCUUAUCAGCUUGUUGGUGGGGUAGUGGCUUACCAAGGCUUUGACGGGUAGCCGGCCUGAGAGGGUGACCGGCGACAUUGGGACUGAGAUACGGCCCAGACUCCUACGGGAGGCAGCAGUGGGGAAUAUUGCACAAUGGGCGGAAGCCUGAUGCAGCAACGCCGGGUGCGGGAUGACGGCCUUCGGGUUGUAAACCGCUUUCGCCUGUGACGAAGCGUGAGUGACGGUAAUGGGUAAAGAAGCACCGGCUAACUACGUG
This 468-nucleotide ribosomal RNA is filed under the name uncultured bacterium. Its description in RNAcentral is "partial 16S ribosomal RNA". It matches the Rfam family "Bacterial small subunit ribosomal RNA", at positions 28 to 507 of the family's 1533-position model. The record is from RNAcentral.